GAUGAAGAACGUAGCGAAAUGCGAUAAGUAAUGUGAAUUGCAGAAUUCAGUGAAUCAUCGAAUCUUUGAACGCACAUUGCGCCCGCCGGUAUUCCGGCGGGCAUGCCUGUUCGAGCGUCAUUUCAACCAUCAAGCCCUGGGCUUGUGUUGGGGACCUGCGGCUGCCGCAGGCCCUGAAAUGCAGUGGCGGGCUCGCAAGACACACCGAGCGUAGUAGCUUACAACCUCGCUUUGGGAGUGCUGCGGGUGCUGGCCGUAAAGCGACCUUUUGCGUCUUUAGCACUAGGUUGACCUCGGAUCAGGUAGGAGGACCCGCUGAACUUAAGCAUAUUAAUAAGCGGAGGA
Molecule: unclassified non-coding RNA, 345 nt
Filed under: soil metagenome
Description: partial contains 5.8S ribosomal RNA, internal transcribed spacer 2, and large subunit ribosomal RNA
Rfam family: 5.8S ribosomal RNA (bases 1-120)
Source: RNAcentral